AGGCCGGGAAAGAGAGGCAGGGUCUGAUCCGCAGCCUCCGUGGCAGCUGUUGCUCAGCCGUUGCCUCUCUCUUUCUCUCCA
This is a non-coding RNA of Myotis brandtii (Brandt's bat), 81 nucleotides long. The record is from Rfam. Lineage: Eukaryota; Metazoa; Chordata; Mammalia; Chiroptera; Vespertilionidae.